GAUGAACGCUAGCGGUGUGCCUAAUGCAUGCAAGUCGAACGGGAUCCUUUGGAUUCGUCUGAAGGUGAGAGUGGCGAACGGGUGAGUAACACGUAGGUGACCUGCCCCGGAGAGGGGGACAACCACUGGAAACGGUGGCUAAUACCCCAGAUGUUAUUGCGCUUAGAAAGCAAUUACUAAAGUUCCGGCGCUCCGGGAGGGGCCUGCGGCCCAUCAGCUUGUUGGUAAGGUAAUGGCUUACCAAGGCUAAGACGGGUAGGGGGCGUGAGAGCGUGACCCCCCACACUGGUACUGAGACACGGACCAGAUACCUGCGGGUAGCAGCAGCAAGGAAUAUUGCCCAAUGGACGAAAGUCUGAGGCAGCAACACCGCGUGGAGGAUGAAGGCCUUCGGGUUGUAAACUCCUUUUCUGGGGGAAGAGAAAGGACGGUACCCCAGGUAUAAGUCUCGGCUAACUACGUGCCAGCAGCCGCGGUAAUG
Molecule: ribosomal RNA, 481 nt
Filed under: uncultured bacterium
Lineage: Bacteria
Description: bacterial SSU rRNA
Rfam family: Bacterial small subunit ribosomal RNA
Source: RNAcentral